CCUGCGAGUCAUCGCUGAGGGUUUAAAGCAUAUGUUUUUGUUUCUGUUUCGUGUGCAGUCAUUUGUGUUGAUCUUUUUAUUACUUUGAUUUGCAGUGACUCUUCCCGCAGGAACAUUUCUAUGGGACAGCACUUAAUUGAGACUUCCAGUAAUGUCAGGUUGCUCGGUUAUCCCUCUGACGUUACCGCAGCGGGACGGGGGCGCGAGGAGGAUUCGUUUCAUUCACCUGGUGGGUCUGACAUCGUUCAGACUGACAGAGAGCACCAAACAGGACAUCCUCCUGGAGUUGGACCUGGUGGCUGUGGCGGCCAUGUGUGUACAGUGAACUCAUUUUCGCUGCCAGUUUGAGAUUAUUUGAGCUUUGUGACAUGCUAUGUUAUCCUCCUGGAAGCAGAAGAUGGGUAAACUGUGGUCAUAAAAGCUGGACAUGGGUUCAACGAUUCCGCUCUAUUUGGGAGCCGAUCUCCUCUCAAAGACUGAUGUGCGUACAGAAAACCAUCCAAGACACCAUGCCAAGUUUGCCAAGAAAGGCCUUGCAACAAAAAUAACUUUUUCCUCAGCUUUCAGGUUUCACGGCUUGAAGGUACCCUCUGCAAAUAACAGCCUGUGGUUCUACAGCAUUCAGGGACUUUUUCGAGUAGCCUUUGAGUUGUACAGUAAGCAAGAUCAGCUUGCUGUGCUGGAGAAUUUCCAGGAUGUCUGGAAAGCACAGAUCAGUGACAGCCCUCUGGAAGUGAGUUACAGCCUCAGCGUGCAGCUGGACCCUUCAGGGUCGCUCAGCCAGCGUGACUCACAAUCAAAGGGUGUAAUAUCACAGCCUCCUUAUUUCCAGGCUGACAAGGAUGUGGUAGAUGUUAGUAGCAUGGACACUGCUGACACAUCAGCAGAUCAUGAUUAUUGUUCUCUUCCCAAGCAGAGCUUACAAUCUGAGCAAAGAGAAGUAGUAAUAUCCACAGUGAGACAAAAAUUGCACCGCUUGGAUGAACAGUUCUCCUCGGAGCCUCGAAGCUGCUCAGAGCAGCUGGAGACGGUCUUGCUGCUUUUGGAGAACAUUGAUCGCUACAUAAAUGGGAGACUUGAAGAAAAAGAUGCGACGGAGAUUGUGCUGGCUCUGCUAAAGGCCAAAGACUGGGGCCCAGUGUAUUCAAGCAGCCUGCUCACUUGUAUAGGACGUUGGCUUGGCCAGCAGUUUCAUGCAGCCAACAGCAGCAUCAGCCAGAAGGUGGAGGGCUUUAAACUUCAGCACAUUGAGCGCAUCAGCGACCUGCCACCUGCUGAGGAACUAGCCACAGAGCUGUUCCCUGAAGCGAUGCGGACGCUGCUGCUUCACUGGAUGGGCUUAAGUGAGGACUUCAGCCUUGAAAAGAGACGCAGCGAAUACCCAAUCCUGCUCCUCAUCCUCGAGUUUGCCAACCACAACCUCAUCACUGGCGUAGCUCAUGUGUUGUACUCCAGUCUUAUAUGCAGGUAAAAGUGUCAACAUAAGACCUGUUUUUCAAUGGAACAACGUUUUAUAUUCAAAUAAAGGUUUAUUUUGUGCGUGUGUGUACAUUACUAUACAUAUGACUCCUCUUAGGUUGGGU
This is a long non-coding RNA of Astatotilapia calliptera (eastern happy), 1583 nucleotides long. Lineage: Eukaryota; Metazoa; Chordata; Actinopteri; Cichliformes; Cichlidae. The record is from Ensembl.